AAGAGCCGUCGGUUGUAAAGCACUUUUUGUCCGGAAAGAAAACUUCUGCCCUAAUACGGUGGGAGGAUGACGGUACCGGAAGAAUAAGCACCGGCUAACUACGUGC
RNAcentral lists this ribosomal RNA (106 nucleotides) under uncultured bacterium. RNAcentral describes it as "partial 16S ribosomal RNA". The record is from RNAcentral.